AAAAGAGUUCUGUAGAUGGGUGAUGGCGAUGGUAGCACAGCAAUGUGAAUGUACUGAAUGCCACAGACUUAUGAAGCCCUGGGUGAGAGGACUACCAAUCACAGCCAGCUGCAAGAUUCCAGACUGGGUCAGAAGGAGAAGCCUAUUGAAUGGAGGCCUUAGUGGGUAAAGUGGAAACACACAGAAGAUACAAAACUCAUCCCUGCUGAAAUUCCAGCCGAAUGCCCAUAACCCAAAGAACCCAUCUUUAUCAAGAAAUAUACUUUCCUAGUUGCUUUGGGGUGGAGAAGAUGAGAUCCCAAACCUACCUUGUAAGGAGAACAAGAAAUAAAGAGAGAGGUAAACUUUGCUCCAGAAGAAAUGAUCCAGAAUAUUGAAGGUAGGCAAAGACAGGGGAGAAAGAGGA
Molecule: long non-coding RNA, 406 nt
Filed under: Equus asinus (donkey)
Lineage: Eukaryota; Metazoa; Chordata; Mammalia; Perissodactyla; Equidae
Description: lncRNA (ENSEASG00005029631.1)
Source: RNAcentral